GGGGGCGCGCGCAUUCACAGCACGCGGGCGGGCUGCUGUCAUUUCACCGCAGUUGUGUUUGGAUCUGGAGAGGAAAUUAAGGAAAUACCAACGAAGAAAAAAAAAAGAAAAAAAGGAAGAAGAAGAAGGUCGCCGCAUUAUUAAAAAAAUAAAAAUGGAGCAUUCGUCCAGCAACCACCGGUUUCGGUCCACAAUCUUCAACCACGAUGAUGAGCUGUUUAUUGACAGUCUGGGUCUCUGUCGUCAUCCCACUCCCUCUUCUUCCACCCCUGCUGCUCCGUGUCUGCAGCGGAGCACCAGCCGGUAGAGCCGGCGAUGCAGCUCGUGUCCACGCGCAGCGUUACGUUAUUGCCGACUCACCUGGGGGGGCUGAGCUGCUCUGCUGCUGCUGUGGGGUUUAUUUGUCUCGGCCAUCUGCAGAAUGGUAAGUGCAGUGUGCCGUCGGCGUUGUGGUGAGACGAGGGUGAAGCUGUCUUUUUUUUUUUUUUU
Molecule: long non-coding RNA, 489 nt
Organism: Gasterosteus aculeatus aculeatus (three-spined stickleback)
Lineage: Eukaryota; Metazoa; Chordata; Actinopteri; Perciformes; Gasterosteidae
Source: Ensembl